CUGUAGCCGGUCAGGCUGACCAAGCUCUCCUCCCAGUGGGGCCUGGUGUGCAGUGAUGCAAACGGUAGCCUCCUUGGUAGUGUCUGUGCAUGCAAGGGUCAUCCUAAGGGACCUUGGAUAUAGCU
RNAcentral lists this small nucleolar RNA (125 nucleotides) under Erinaceus europaeus (western European hedgehog). RNAcentral's name for it is "Small nucleolar RNA SNORA70". It matches the Rfam family "Small nucleolar RNA SNORA70". From Rfam's summary of the family: snoRNA U70 seems to be exclusive to mammals and is a member of the H/ACA class of snoRNA which contain H (ANANNA) and ACA box motifs. H/ACA box snoRNAs are involved in the conversion of uridines to pseudouridines (5-ribosyluracil) a constituent of structural RNAs (transfer, ribosomal, small nuclear, and small nucleolar). The record is from Rfam by way of RNAcentral. Lineage: Eukaryota; Metazoa; Chordata; Mammalia; Eulipotyphla; Erinaceidae.